RNAcentral lists this ribosomal RNA (458 nucleotides) under uncultured bacterium. RNAcentral describes it as "partial 16S ribosomal RNA". It matches the Rfam family "Bacterial small subunit ribosomal RNA", at positions 338 to 795 of the family's 1533-position model. The record is from RNAcentral.
CCUACGGGAGACAGCAGUGGGGAAUAUUGCACAAUGGGGGAAACCCUGAUGCAGCGACGCCGCGUGAGUGAAGAAGUAUUUCGGUAUGUAAAGCUCUAUCAGCAGGGAAGAAAUACUGACCUUACGGUCAGCAGACGGUACCUGACUAAGAAGCACCGGCUACCUACGUGCCAGCAGCCGCGGUAAUACGGCGGGGGCAAGCGUUAUCCGGAUUUACUUGGUGUAAAGGGAGCGGAGACGGCAGCGCAAGUCUGAAGUGAAAUCCCAUGGCUUAACCAUGGAACGGCUUUGGAAACUGUGCAGCUGGAGUGCAGGAGAGGUAAGCGGAAUGCCUAGUGUAGCGGUGAAAUGCGUAGAUAUUAGGAGGAACACCAGUGGCGAAGGCGGCUUACUGGACUGUAACUGACGUUGAGGCUCGAAAGCGUGGGGAGCAAACAGGAUUAGAUACCCCAGUAGUC